GACCCCUGGCAACAGGCAAAGAGACACCUUAUUGUUGGUGGUGUUCUUAUAUCAGUCAAGGACAGAGCGGAUGGCAGUCCUUUGUUUAUCCUAGCUUGAUGCCUGGCUUGGUGGCCAAAGCUGUCUUAUGCCUAGGACUCAUAA
Small nucleolar RNA from Rattus norvegicus (Norway rat), 144 nucleotides. Ensembl annotates it as small nucleolar RNA SNORA48. The record is from Ensembl. Lineage: Eukaryota; Metazoa; Chordata; Mammalia; Rodentia; Muridae.